This 476-nucleotide ribosomal RNA is filed under the name Aspicilia cyanescens. Its description in RNAcentral is "eukaryotic LSU rRNA". The stretch from base 185 to 338 matches the Rfam family "5.8S ribosomal RNA". The record is from RNAcentral. Lineage: Eukaryota; Fungi; Ascomycota; Lecanoromycetes; Pertusariales; Megasporaceae.
CAUUACCGAGAUUAGGGUCCUUCGGGGCCCGAUCCUCCCACCCUUUGCGUAUGUACCUCUGUUGCUUCGGCGGCCCCCGGGGUUACGGUGCCGGCGUCGCCACGCAUCAUCCCCCGACCGCCAGAGGCCCCAUCCACUCCGAAUUUUCCAUUGCCGUCUGAACCAAACAAGCAAAUAUUUUUAAAACUUUCAACAACGGAUCUCUUGGUUCUGGCAUCGAUGAAGAACGCAGCGAAAUGCGAUAAGUAAUGUGAAUUGCAGAAUUCAGUGAAUCAUCGAAUCUUUGAACGCACAUUGCGCCCUCUGGUAUUCCGGGGGGCAUGCCUGUCCGAGCGUCAUUACACCUCUCAAGCUCAGCUUGGUAUUGGGCUCUCGUCCCCCGCGGACGGGCCUGAAAAUCAGUGGCAGUGCAGCCGGUGCUCAAGCGUAGUAAUCUCUAUCCCGCUUUGGAGUCGCCGGCUGGACCCGCCAGACAA